This is a long non-coding RNA of Paramisgurnus dabryanus, 591 nucleotides long. RefSeq lists it as uncharacterized. NCBI's taxonomy places the organism in Eukaryota, Metazoa, Chordata, Actinopteri, Cypriniformes, Cobitidae. The record is from RefSeq and is a predicted model, not a curated record.
UAUAUUGAUAUUAAAUUAGCUGUUUUCUAUCAGGUUAAGAAUAACUGUGAUCAUAUUAUAAUGAAGUAAUCGAAUUUGGUUAUCUGGUCUUCCUGAUGUUAGAACAUUUAUAUAAAAAAACAUAUUUAAAAAUGUAUUUCUGUAACGUUUAAUUUCCUUUUUUGAUGAAAGUGUGUCUGUGUUCAUCAAGACAUGAAGACUCUGGAGUGGGACAAGAGAAGGAUCAUGGGGUGUAUAUUCCAAUAGACACAUUAAGUGAAAGCUGAUAAAUACAGAGGGCUGGACAGUGGUUUCAUUCAUUAGCGCCUGAGUCCAGUGUUCGAGACUGGUAACACCUGCACAAGCCGAUCGGAGAAGAACGAUGGUGUCACAGAUUCAGGUCUUUUUGGACUCAGCAAAGUGACAUAGCCGCUGAGGAAAAUGAGGAUACCAUGGCUCGUUGGACUGCAUUCCUUGCACUUUCCCAAAUUUUUCUUACAUCAUUGUUUGCCGUUUUCUUGUUAAUCACACUGACUGUUUUGUGAUUUUCCUGACUAUUGAGUUAUCAGCAUGAGACUGUCAAAAAGUCUUUAAAAAGUGCUUUCAUAAAAC